Molecule: ribosomal RNA, 772 nt
Filed under: uncultured bacterium
Lineage: Bacteria
Description: bacterial SSU rRNA
Rfam family: Bacterial small subunit ribosomal RNA
Source: RNAcentral
GCAGUCGUACGCUUCUUUUUCCACCGGAGCUUGCUCCACCGGAAAAAGAGGAGUGGCGAACGGGUGAGUAACACGUGGGUAACCUGCCCAUCAGAAGGGGAUAACACUUGGAAACAGGUGCUAAUACCGUAUAACAAUCGAAACCGCAUGGUUUUGAUUUGAAAGGCGCUUUCGGGUGUCGCUGAUGGAUGGACCCGCGGUGCAUUAGCUAGUUGGUGAGGUAACGGCUCACCAAGGCCACGAUGCAUAGCCGACCUGAGAGGGUGAUCGGCCACAUUGGGACUGAGACACGGCCCAAACUCCUACGGGAGGCAGCAGUAGGGAAUCUUCGGCAAUGGACGAAAGUCUGACCGAGCAACGCCGCGUGAGUGAAGAAGGUUUUCGGAUCGUAAAACUCUGUUGUUAGAGAAGAAUAAGGAUGAGAGUAACUGUUCAUCCCUUGACGGUAUCUAACCAGAAAGCCACGGCUAACUACGUGCCAGCAGCCGCGGUAAUACGUAGGUGGCAAGCGUUGUCCGGAUUUAUUGGGCGUAAAGCGAGCGCAGGCGGUUUCUUAAGUCUGAUGUGAAAGCCCCCGGCUCAACCCGGGAGGGUCAUUGGAAACUGGGAGACUUGAGUGCAGAAGAGGAGAGUGGAAUUCCAUGUGUAGCGGUGAAAUGCGUAGAUAUAUGGAGGAACACCAGUGGCGAAGGCGGCUCUCUGGUCUGUAACUGACGCUGAGGCUCGAAAGCGUGGGGAGCAAACAGGAUUAGAUACCCUGGUAGUCCACGCC